Molecule: ribosomal RNA, 497 nt
Filed under: uncultured bacterium
Lineage: Bacteria
Description: partial 16S ribosomal RNA
Rfam family: Bacterial small subunit ribosomal RNA
Source: RNAcentral
GAUGAACGCUGGCGGCGUGCCUAAUACAUGCAAGUCGAGCGAACGGACGAGAAGCUUGUUUCUCUGAUGUUAGCGGCGGACGGGUGAGUAACACGUGGAUAACCUACCUAUAAGACUGGGAUAACUUCGGGAAACCGGAGCUAAUACCGGAUAAUAUUUUGAACCGCAUGGUUCAAAAGUGAAAGAUGGUCUUGCUGUCACUUAUAGAUGGAUCCGCGUUGCAUUAGCUAGUUGGUAAGGUAACGGCUUACCAAGGCAACGAUGCAUAGCCGACCGGAGAGGUGGAUCGGCCAAACUGGAACGGGAAAACGGUCCAGACUCCUACGGGAGGCAGCAGUAGGGAAUCUUCCGCAAUGGGCGAAAGCCUGACGGAGCAACGCCGCGUGAGUGAUGAAGGUCUUCGGAUCGUAAAACUCUGUUAUUAGGGAAGAACAUAUGUGUAAGUAACUGUGCACAUCUUGACGGUACCUAAUCAGAAAGCCACGGCUAACUACGUG